GACGUAGGGCGCGAGCGUUGUCCGGAUUUAUUGGGCGUAAGGAGCUCGUAGGCGGCUUGUUGCGUCGACCGUGAAAACUUGGGGCUUAACCUCAGGCUUGCGGUUGAUACGGGCAGGCUAGAGUUCGGUAGGGGAGACUGGAAUUCCUGGUGUAGCGGUGGAAUGCGCAGAUAUCAGGAGGAACACCGGUGGCGAAGGCGGGUCUCUGGGCAGUAACUGACGCUGAGGAGCGAAAGCGUGGGGAGCGAACAGG
This 253-nucleotide ribosomal RNA is filed under the name uncultured bacterium. Its description in RNAcentral is "partial 16S ribosomal RNA". It matches the Rfam family "Bacterial small subunit ribosomal RNA", at positions 524 to 776 of the family's 1533-position model. The record is from RNAcentral.